RNAcentral lists this ribosomal RNA (403 nucleotides) under uncultured bacterium. RNAcentral describes it as "bacterial SSU rRNA". It matches the Rfam family "Bacterial small subunit ribosomal RNA", at positions 356 to 775 of the family's 1533-position model. The record is from RNAcentral.
AGGGAAUCUUGCGCAAUGGACGGGAGUCCGACGCAGCGACGCCGCGUGGGUGAAGACGGCCUUCGGGUUGUAAAGCCCUUUUCUGGGGGAAGAGAGAGGACGGUACUCCAGGAAUAAGUGUCGGCUAACUACGUGCCAGCAGCCGCGGUAAUACGUAGGACACGAGCGUUAUCCGGAUUUACUGGGCGUAAAGCGCCUGUAGGCGGUUCUUCAAGUCGUCUGUGAAAGCCCUGGGCUCAACCUGGGGAGGCCAAGCGAUACUGGAGGACUUGAGGGUGACAGAGGGGAGUGGAAUUUCCGGUGUAGCGGUAAAAUGCGCAGAUAUCGGGAGGAACACCAGUGGCGAAGGCGGCUCCCUGGGUCACCCCUGACGCUGAGAGGCGAAAGCUAGGGGAGCAAACAG